Molecule: ribosomal RNA, 573 nt
Filed under: uncultured bacterium
Lineage: Bacteria
Description: partial 16S ribosomal RNA
Rfam family: Bacterial small subunit ribosomal RNA
Source: RNAcentral
UGGGGAAUAUUGCACAAUGGGCGAAAGCCUGAUGCAGCAACGCCGCGUGCGGGAUGACGGCCUUCGGGUUGUAAACCGCUUUCAGCAGGGACGAAGGUUUUCUGACGGUACCUGCAGAAGAAGCACCGGCUAACUACGUGCCAGCAGCCGCGGUGAUACGUAGGGUGCGAGCGUUGUCCGGAAUUAUUGGGCGUAAAGAGCUUGUAGGCGGUCCGUUGCGUCGGAAGUGAAAACUCAGGGCUUAACCCUGAGCCUGCUUUCGAUACGGGCGGACUUGAGGGAUGUAGGGGAGAACGGAAUUCCUGGUGGAGCGGUGGAAUGCGCAGAUAUCAGGAGGAACACCAGUGGCGAAGGCGGUUCUCUGGACAUUUCCUGACGCUGAGAAGCGAAAGCGUGGGGAGCAAACAGGCUUAGAUACCCUGGUAGUCCACGCCGUAAACGGUGGGCACUAGGUGUGGGACCCAUUCCACGGGUUCCGUGCCGUAGCUAACGCAUUAAGUGCCCCGCCUGGGGUAGUACGGCCGCAAGGCUAAAACCUCAAAUGAAUUGACGGGGUCAUGAGCUGUUUCCCUG